GACGAACGCUGGCGGCGUGCUUAACACAUGCAAGUCGAACGGAAAGGCCUGCUUUCCCUUGUGGAUUGCGGGUACUCGAGUGGCGAACGGGUGAGUAACACGUGAGUGAUCUGCCCCCAACUUGGGUAUAAGCCUGGGAAACUGGGUCUAAUUCCCGAUAGGACUGCAGGGUGGUGCCUGUGGUGGAAAACGAUUUUCUAGUGGUUGGGGAUGAGCUCGCGGCCUAUCAGCUUGUUGGUGGGGUAAUGGCCUACCAAGGCGGCGACGGGUAGCCGGCCUGAGAGGGUGGACGGCCACAUUGGGACUGAGAUACGGCCCAGACGCCGACGGGAGGCAGCAGUGGGGAAUAUUGCACAAUGGGCGGAAGCCUGAUGCAGCGACGCCGCGUGGGGGAUGACGGCCUUCGGGUUGUAAACUCCUUUCGACCGCGAGGAAGCCACCUGGUUGGAAGGGUGGUGACGGUAGUGGUAGAAGAAGCACCGGCUAACUACGUG
RNAcentral lists this ribosomal RNA (494 nucleotides) under uncultured bacterium. RNAcentral's name for it is "partial 16S ribosomal RNA". It matches the Rfam family "Bacterial small subunit ribosomal RNA", at positions 28 to 507 of the family's 1533-position model. The record is from RNAcentral.